GAUGAAUUUGCAAUAAUCUGAAAUCAAACUGAGCUGCACCCAGACACUUUGAUCUAUGAGGAACAACAAAGGGUUUAUUUUCUGCCAAACUUCUAUUAUCGUAAUGUAACAGAAAAAUACGCAAUACUAAUAAAAAAAGCAGCUUCAGAAAUAGGAAUAACAAUACUGCAAAACUGCCACAAAUUUUUGAUUUUCCCUGAUUGAACUGACUGAAUGAAACCACAGGUUGAUCUCUCUUUUGGUUUACCUUCCAGUCUGCUGUGGCACUGUGCUGUGGGAUCUGUCAUGGGCUGUAUCAGUGUCUGGCAGUGGCCAAUAGCUCUGGGUGAACAUGCUGAGCCCUGGCCCUCACCAGAGGUGGUCACUGAUGCACAAAGAGCGAGGCAGGAACAGCCCUGGGUGAACAUGCUGAGCCCUGGCCCUCACCAGAGGUGGUCACUGAUGCACAAAGAGCGAGGCAGGAACAGCCCUGGGGAGCUCAGGGCUCAGGUGCUGAAACCUGACACUGAUCAAACAGAGAUCAGUCUCAAAAGCACAACACUCUCCACUGCAGGAAAACAUCUCUGCUGUUUGUGUCACCCAACACAGCCCCCCUGA
Molecule: long non-coding RNA, 597 nt
Filed under: Catharus ustulatus (Swainson's thrush)
Lineage: Eukaryota; Metazoa; Chordata; Aves; Passeriformes; Turdidae
Description: lncRNA (ENSCUSG00005004739.1)
Source: RNAcentral